Molecule: ribosomal RNA, 301 nt
Filed under: uncultured bacterium
Lineage: Bacteria
Description: partial 16S ribosomal RNA
Rfam family: Bacterial small subunit ribosomal RNA
Source: RNAcentral
CAGUCGCCGCGGUAAUACGAAGGGUGCAAGCGUUAAUCGGAAUUACUGGGCGUAAAGCGUGCGUAGGCGGCUUUUUAAGUCGGAUGUGAAAUCCCUGAGCUUAACUUAGGAAUUGCAUUCGAUACUGGGAAGCUAGAGUAUGGGAGAGGAUGGUAGAAUUCCAGGUGUAGCGGUGAAAUGCGUAGAGAUCUGGAGGAAUACCGAUGGCGAAGGCAGCCAUCUGGCCUAAUACUGACGCUGAGGUACGAAAGCAUGGGGAGCAAACAGGAUUAGAUACCCCGGUAGUCCCUGUCUCUUAUAC